This 3069-nucleotide ribosomal RNA is filed under the name Campylobacter jejuni. RNAcentral describes it as "bacterial LSU rRNA". It matches the Rfam family "Bacterial large subunit ribosomal RNA". The record is from RNAcentral. Lineage: Bacteria; Pseudomonadati; Campylobacterota; Epsilonproteobacteria; Campylobacterales; Campylobacteraceae.
AAAAAAGGUAAGCUACUAAGAGCGAAUGGUGGAUGCCUUGACUGGUAAAGGCGAUGAAGGACGUACUAGACUGCGAUAAGCUACGGGGAGCUGUCAAGAAGCUUUGAUCCGUAGAUUUCCGAAUGGGGCAACCCAAUGUAUAGAGAUAUACAUUACCUAUAUAGGAGCGAACGAGGGGAAUUGAAACAUCUUAGUACCCUCAGGAAAAGAAAUCAAUAGAGAUUGCGUCAGUAGCGGCGAGCGAAAGCGCAAGAGGGCAAACCCAGUGCUUGCACUGGGGGUUGUAGGACUGCAAUGUGCAAGAGCUGAGUUUAGCAGAACAUUCUGGAAAGUAUAGCCAUAGAGGGUGAUAGUCCCGUAUGCGAAAAACAAAGCUUAGCUAGCAGUAUCCUGAGUAGGGCGGGACACGAGGAAUCCUGUCUGAAUCCGGGUCGACCACGAUCCAACCCUAAAUACUAAUACCAGAUCGAUAGUGCACAAGUACCGUGAGGGAAAGGUGAAAAGAACUGAGGUGAUCAGAGUGAAAUAGAACCUGAAACCAUUUGCUUACAAUCAUUCAGAGCACUAUGUAGCAAUACAGUGUGAUGGACUGCCUUUUGCAUAAUGAGCCUGCGAGUUGUGGUGUCUGGCAAGGUUAAGCAAACGCGAAGCCGUAGCGAAAGCGAGUCUGAAUAGGGCGCUUAGUCAGAUGCUGCAGACCCGAAACGAAGUGAUCUAUCCAUGAGCAAGUUGAAGCUAGUGUAAGAACUAGUGGAGGACUGAACCCAUAGGCGUUGAAAAGCCCCGGGAUGACUUGUGGAUAGGGGUGAAAGGCCAAUCAAACUUCGUGAUAGCUGGUUCUCUCCGAAAUAUAUUUAGGUAUAGCGUUGUGUCGUAAUAUAAGGGGGUAGAGCACUGAAUGGGCUAGGGCAUACACCAAUGUACCAAACCCUAUCAAACUCCGAAUACCUUAUAUGUAAUCACAGCAGUCAGGCGGCGAGUGAUAAAAUCCGUCGUCGAGAGGGAAACAACCCAGACUACCAGCUAAGGUCCCUAAAUCUUACUUAAGUGGAAAACGAUGUGAAGUUACUUAAACAACCAGGAGGUUGGCUUAGAAGCAGCCAUCCUUUAAAGAAAGCGUAAUAGCUCACUGGUCUAGUGAUUUUGCGCGGAAAAUAUAACGGGGCUAAAGUAAGUACCGAAGCUGUAGACUUGCACACAACUUAGAUUAUUUAAGUUUAGAAUAUGAGAAACUAAGUUAUGUUUAGUUAUAUUUUUACUGAUUUUUAUAGAGUAAAGAUAGAAAUAAAACUUAGUAAAAUCAGUAAAAAUAUUCUUAGGCUAAAGUUAAGUAGUUUAAGUUGUGUGCAAGUGGUAGGAGAGCGUUCUAUUUGCGUCGAAGGUAUACCGGUAAGGAGUGCUGGAGCGAAUAGAAGUGAGCAUGCAGGCAUGAGUAGCGAUAAUUAAUGUGAGAAUCAUUAACGCCGUAAACCCAAGGUUUCCUACGCGAUGCUCGUCAUCGUAGGGUUAGUCGGGUCCUAAGUCGAGUCCGAAAGGGGUAGACGAUGGCAAAUUGGUUAAUAUUCCAAUACCAACAUUAGUGUGCGAUGGAAGGACGCUUAGGGCUAAGGGGGCUAGCGGAUGGAAGUGCUAGUCUAAGGUCGUAGGAGGUUAUACAGGCAAAUCCGUAUAACAAUACUCCGAGAACUGAAAGGCUUUUUGAAGUCUUCGGAUGGAUAGAAGAACCCCUGAUGCCGUCGAGCCAAGAAAAGUUUCUAAGUUUAGCUAAUGUUGCCCGUACCGUAAACCGACACAGGUGGGUGGGAUGAGUAUUCUAAGGCGCGUGGAAGAACUCUCUUUAAGGAACUCUGCAAAAUAGCACCGUAUCUUCGGUAUAAGGUGUGGUUAGCUUCGUACUAGGAUUUACUCCGAAAGCGAAGAAACUUACAACAAAGAGUCCCUCCCGACUGUUUACCAAAAACACAGCACUCUGCUAACUCGUAAGAGGAUGUAUAGGGUGUGACGCCUGCCCGGUGCUCGAAGGUUAAUUGAUGGGGUUAGCAUUAGCGAAGCUCUUGAUCGAAGCCCGAGUAAACGGCGGCCGUAACUAUAACGGUCCUAAGGUAGCGAAAUUCCUUGUCGGUUAAAUACCGACCUGCAUGAAUGGCGUAACGAGAUGGGAGCUGUCUCAAAGAGGGAUCCAGUGAAAUUGUAGUGGAGGUGAAAAUUCCUCCUACCCGCGGCAAGACGGAAAGACCCCGUGGACCUUUACUACAGCUUGACACUGCUACUUGGAUAAGAAUGUGCAGGAUAGGUGGGAGGCUUUGAGUAUAUGACGCCAGUUGUAUAUGAGCCAUUGUUGAGAUACCACUCUUUCUUAUUUGGGUAGCUAACCAGCUUGAGUUAUCCUCAAGUGGGACAAUGUCUGGUGGGUAGUUUGACUGGGGCGGUCGCCUCCCAAAUAAUAACGGAGGCUUACAAAGGUUGGCUCAGAACGGUUGGAAAUCGUUCGUAGAGUAUAAAGGUAUAAGCCAGCUUAACUGCAAGACAUACAAGUCAAGCAGAGACGAAAGUCGGUCUUAGUGAUCCGGUGGUUCUGUGUGGAAGGGCCAUCGCUCAAAGGAUAAAAGGUACCCCGGGGAUAACAGGCUGAUCUCCCCCAAGAGCUCACAUCGACGGGGAGGUUUGGCACCUCGAUGUCGGCUCAUCGCAUCCUGGGGCUGGAGCAGGUCCCAAGGGUAUGGCUGUUCGCCAUUUAAAGCGGUACGCGAGCUGGGUUCAGAACGUCGUGAGACAGUUCGGUCCCUAUCUGCCGUGGGCGUAAGAAGAUUGAAGAGAUUUGACCCUAGUACGAGAGGACCGGGUUGAACAAACCACUGGUGUAGCUGUUGUUCUGCCAAGAGCAUCGCAGCGUAGCUAAGUUUGGAAAGGAUAAACGCUGAAAGCAUCUAAGCGUGAAGCCAACUCUAAGAUGAAUCUUCUCUAAGCUCUCUAGAAGACUACUAGUUUGAUAGGCUGGGUGUGUAAUGGAUGAAAGUCCUUUAGCUGACCAGUACUAAUAGAGCGUUUGGCUUAUCUUUAAUAAAGCAU